GUCUUCCACAUCCCAGAUUCUAGCCCUGAUGCUAGGGAGCUGCUGAAUAAGAAGAAUAAAAACCCUGCACUUAUGGAGCUUAAAUUCUAGUGAGAUCCUUGAAAAAACAAACAGUGAGUGAUGUAGUUUCAGUAAGAUUUUUGUAAGUGCUUCUUAAGUGAAUACAUGUCAGCAUGCGUGACUGAGACCUCCACAGUUCUAUCCAAUACACUCUGAAAAGUCAUUUCAGGAGCUUACAGAUUAACUAGUGGAAAAGAAAAAUGUUUUCCUAAGCUUCACACAGAGAAAGAAGCUUCUCCAAAUCAGAAGGCAAGCAGAAUUGGUGGUAAAGGAAAGAGAAGGAGACAUCAAGUCCAUCCCAAGAGGCAUGGCAGAAACCUCCAAAUCCUAGAAGUCGAGAGAAAAUGAGGAGAGAAAUUACAUGUGUUUGCCAACAGGAAUUACAUAGUGGAGAAGAAAAAAAGUUGAUGCUGCAGGGGAAAGAAGAAAAGUUACUGAAACAGUGACCGUGAGUAGAUUCUCACAUCAAGAAGUUGAAUCUCGGGCUUCCCUGGUGGCGCAGUGGUUGAGAGUCCGCCUGCCGAUGCAGGGGACACGGGUUCGUGCCCCGAUCCCGGAAGAUCCCACAUGCCGCGGAGCGGCUGGGCCCGCGAGCCAUGGCCGCGGAGCCUGUGUGUCCGGAGCCUGUGCUCCGCAACGGGAGAGGCCACAGCAGUGAGAGGCCCGCGUACAGCAAAAAAAAAAAAAAGAAGUUGAAUCUCUUUUCCUUCUCUUGAAUCCUCCUGACCUUGUGCCUUGCUUUGACUAAUAGAAUAAUGUGGGAGUGACAUUCUGGGCUUUCCAAGCCUGAGCCUUAAGAAGUCAUCCUCUUCUGCUGCCUCCUUCUUCGAACCCACUGCCACACUCUAAGAAAUGCCUGGCACCGGAUGUUCAGUGUUCAAACGCAGAACCAUGGAAGUUGAGAGGCCACUGUGGCUUCCGACUGAAUCCCCCUAAGCUGCUGCCCGUGGAGAAGAAUUGCCCAGCCGACUCCUGCCCAAGUUCCUGACCACCAAUUGUGAGAAAUAACAAAUCAUUUUUAAGCCAUUAAUUUUGGGGACUUUGUAAGGCAGAAAUAAUUCAUCGAAAUACCUGUGAAAUUUUUUAAAAAUUUCACUUGAAAGUGAGGAUGGAAAAGGUGUAGGAGUUUGAGGGGGAGAGAAAAAGAUUUGAAAAAGUCGGAGAGGAGGAGAUUUCGGAGAGAAACAGUGUGACCGUUGGGAAGCACGAAGGUGAAUUUAAAGGGAAAAGAAUCAGUGUGUGAGUUGUUCUCCAGCCACCUUCAGCUGCUCCGGUGCAGGCUGGGACCUGGAGAGGGUUGGAUUUCAGCUGGGCUGGAUUUGUGACAGGUGAGUUUGGAAGGAUGUUGAAGGGAUGUAAGAGACCUGUUGUAACGAAUGGUCACGGGAUUCCAUUUCAUGGGCUAAUAAAUCAUUUUCAAACUA
Mesoplodon densirostris (Blainville's beaked whale) is the source of this 1484-nucleotide long non-coding RNA. RefSeq lists it as uncharacterized. Lineage: Eukaryota; Metazoa; Chordata; Mammalia; Artiodactyla; Ziphiidae. The record is from RefSeq and is a predicted model, not a curated record. The transcript has 4 exons.